Mauremys reevesii (Reeves's turtle) is the source of this 482-nucleotide long non-coding RNA. RefSeq lists it as uncharacterized. The transcript has 3 exons. Lineage: Eukaryota; Metazoa; Chordata; Testudines; Geoemydidae. The record is from RefSeq and is a predicted model, not a curated record.
GACUGCCACUUUAUGAAAAGAGGAAUCACUCAUCAGACUCUGUAGAGAGAGGUUCUCCUGGUUAAUAAAUGAGGACAGGAAAGAAAAAGAAAAGACAAAGAAAUGGAAACACUGCCCACCACAGUCAUUAUUCUGGAGGAGAUUCUUCAAACCCCUGUUUUGUGAUGGUAGGGGGAACGCUUCGUAUGUGAAAGAGUGGAGCACACAAUUUAAAAGAAGGGUAGCAAUGGAGGGAAAAGAAAUUUCUGAAAUGAUCACGGAAAUAACAUGCAUUCAAGGAACAACAAAGGAGAAAAACAAUGGAAGUGGGUGUGCAUAUUUUACUGCAGCCCGAGGAUUUCAGUAGCUGAUGCAUUCACAGAAAGUCUCUUACAGUCUUAUGUCUUUUACUACAAUGCAAAUUUAUUCUGCCUGAGUAACAACUACCACAAUACUGUCAUUCCCCAAUUACGUUGAUAUAGUCAGUCACAUGCUGCUGAAAU